GAUGAACGCUGGCGGCGUGCCUAAUACAUGCAAGUCGAGCGAACGGACGAGAAGCUUGCUUCUCUGAUGUUAGCGGCGGACGGGUGAGUAACACGUGGAUAACCUACCUAUAAGACUGGGAUAACUUCGGGAAACCGGAGCUAAUACCGGAUAAUAUUUUGAACAGCAUGGUUCAAACGUGAAAGAGGGUCUUGCUGUCACUUAUAGAUGGAUCCGCGCUGCAUUAGCUAGUUGGUAAGGUAACGGCUUACCAAGGCAACGAUGCAUAGCCGACCUGCGAGGGUGAUCGGCCACACUGGAACUGAGACACGGUCCAGACUCCUACGGGAGGCAGCAGUAGGGAAUCUUCCGCAAUGGGAGAAAGCCUGACGGAGCAACGCCGCGUGAGUGCUGAAGGUCUUCGGAUCGUAAAACUCUGUUAUUAGGGAAGAACAUAUGUGUAAGUAACUGUGCACAUCUUGACGGUACCUAAUCAGAAAGCCACGGCUAACUACGUG
RNAcentral lists this ribosomal RNA (497 nucleotides) under uncultured bacterium. Its description in RNAcentral is "partial 16S ribosomal RNA". It matches the Rfam family "Bacterial small subunit ribosomal RNA", at positions 28 to 507 of the family's 1533-position model. The record is from RNAcentral.